UGCGUAGGGUGCAAGCGUUGUCCGGAAUUAUUGGGCGUAAAGAGCUCGUAGGCGGUUUGUCACGUCUGCUGUGAAAACUGGAGGCUCAACCUCCAGCCUGCAGUGGGUACGGGCAGACUAGAGUGCGGUAGGGGAGAUUGGAACUCCUGGUGUAGCGGUGGAAUGCGCAGAUAGUCAGGAGGAACACCGGUGGCGAAGGCAGUGGUCUGGGCCGAUACUGACGCUGAGGAGCGAAAGCGUGGGGAGCGAACAGG
This 254-nucleotide ribosomal RNA is filed under the name uncultured bacterium. Its description in RNAcentral is "partial 16S ribosomal RNA". It matches the Rfam family "Bacterial small subunit ribosomal RNA", at positions 524 to 776 of the family's 1533-position model. The record is from RNAcentral.